CAUUCUGAGAAAUACAAAGUAGUACAGACAAAAACAAAAUUGAGAAAUUCUUUCCAUUAAUCCUUGUAGUUCAAGGUAUAUACUGAUUUGGGGUAAUAAUGUGACACUUUAACUUAAGAAAAACAACAUCAAACUUUCCAUUAGCCCAGAAUACAGGCUAUUAUUUAUGUUAUCUGCAUGAUUUUUAACCAGGUGUAACAGCCUGAACCAUUGGUUUUUUAAUGGAAUUCAGUGUCUUCAGUGUAUAUACAUGUGGAUUCUCUUGCCACCUCAUCUUUCCAUAAUUUGAUGAUGCUUCACCCUAUUUACCUUUAUGCAUUUGUAUCCAUACAUUGAUCCUUUUAUUGAUCAAUUUAUUAUGAUAGAGUAAAAACUCAUUUAAAAAGGCCAAAUAAGAUCCUUAUAUAUUCUUAAAUAAUCUAUAGGAUUAUUUCUAAAAGAGGCAAUAACCUAUAUUCCUUCCUUCUUGGACCUCAGAGUUCCAGACAUACAUUCAUCACACAUGACUUAUAUGCCACCAGUGGACAUCCUUGAUCCAGGCUUGGCUCUCAUUUUCUUCAUUCAUAUCACUGAAUAAUACAUCAAUAAUCUAAUAGUACUAAAAUAAAUACCAAGAAUCACAAAAACUAGAAGACGAGAUUCUUGAAUAUUUCUAACAUCUGCCUAUGGAAUAAGCAGAAAUAUAAUAAUAUUUCUAAUAUCUGCCUAUGGAUCAACUGACCUCAAGGCUUCAUAUAUAAUAAUUACAUUUUUUACAUUUGGGUGAUGGUUGGCAGUCACUGAUUAAAUUUUGCACUUACUGAAUACCCUUCAGAAGAACGCUGAAACUGAGACAAGAAGUUUGACUAUUACGUCAGUCUCCAUGUUCCUAACACGUGGAGACAACCACUGAUCUCAUAGCCACAGAACAUAAAAAUCAGCUCGGGUCUGUCCAUUCUGAGGAGUACAGAGCAGACUAAAAACAUUGAGACCUAAUCUCUGUUGAUCCUGCCUUUCUGCAUUGCAUUUAUUCAGUGAUUUGGUGGCAACCACAAAUCUCAUGACCAUGAAUGCUUAGGUCGGCUCAAGUGCAUCCAUUCUGCAGAAUACAAAGAGCAGUGUCCAGGCUCCUACCCAGAGGCAACUGUGGAGAACGC
Symphalangus syndactylus (siamang) is the source of this 1136-nucleotide long non-coding RNA. RefSeq lists it as uncharacterized. The record is from RefSeq and is a predicted model, not a curated record. Lineage: Eukaryota; Metazoa; Chordata; Mammalia; Primates; Hylobatidae.